AUUAUCAGACUGAUCGUCGUCACAUGGAUGACGUGCAUUUUGUGGCCAAUAGAAAGCUGACACGUCAUUAGAUAUGCUAUGUAAGUGACCAUGAACUAGCCGAACUAAAAAUAUCAAGUAUACGACAGUAAAAUGCCAAACUGCUCAAUACCAAUUAAAAAUUUGUACUAGAUAGGUGACGAUACAAUGGGAUGUUUUUCUCGUCGACGAAAGUAAUCCGUACCACAGCUUGGACAUUUCUUUCGUUAAAAGUUUUAUGAUGUAUCGCUUGUACAGACACGUGGUUCGUUUGUGAGCUGACGGAGUGCCUAUCUUUUUUUGUUUUCUUGUACUUCGUUUCAACUUGAAUCGCGACUGUUUUGUGCGAUUCAGUCUCUUCACAGAUAACAACUUCAUCAUACCAUGAAAAUUGUGUGGGAACGGAGUUGUUUGUUAAAGUGAUCUUGUCAAUUGAUGGAUUUUUGUCGCCACGAUCGUUAAUUGGAUUCCCUUCUGAUAUUUUUGGGUGGCUUUCAGUUUUGCUUGGAACGGGAUCAAAUUCAUGUCCUAUUGAUGAACAAUGAGCUUCGUAUAGCUGAGAUGAAGAACAAAACUCAGUGGAAGCUUUUAAUGUUUGACUACAACAACUAAGAAUGCUGGGAGACAAUGCUUGAUGUGAACCAUCUGAAUCACUCGAAUAAUCAAAAGAUUGUUCAUAGCAAUAGUUAUCGUGGUUUGAACAUAGUCCGGAUUUAUCUAUGGUCAAUAGCCUUUCGUUGUCGUUAAAGAAUUUCUGGCUUUCGCUUUUCUUUACAUUCUUUUCUUCUUGUAUAUCCUUCGCAUUGUUGACUUUGUCCGACAUUGUCCUACAUUGUUGAUCGCUUUUACUUUCUGAGGCAUUUGUAGGAUUGCAAGUCUUCUCGGGGAAAUUUUUUCCAGAAAUUUUGUUGUUUUGUUUUGCAUUUUUAUUUUCUACCAUUAGCAUUAUUUGUGGAACUUUAUCACUGCAUUCUGAAGGAUUUUCAUUCUUUCUUGUGCAGUAAAAUACUUCAUUGUGCACAUUUCCUUUUUCUUUCAUCUUUACAUCACUUUGGAAGAUAUUCUUGCCUUCUUUAUCUUUUAACGAAGAAGCAAAAGAAGGUUCACAAGAAGCGGCCACCUGCUUUUCUUUCAUUUCUUGAAGAGUAAAGGAUUUUCUGUCUCUGGUUGUAUUUGAAAAGUGGGAGGAGACGAGUAACAGCUGUUGUUGUUGCAGUGAUGAAGUUCAAGGUAUUUUGAAAAACAUAAGGGUGUUUCCUGUGAAAACUGUGGGUGCAUUAUGGUUUGAGGCGGGUAAAAUUCAUCAGGUUGAGUCUGUUUACCAACUGCGUAUGCCUGGGCAGUUAUCGAAGUAUUUUGCUGAAAUUGUUGUUCCAAACAUUUGGUUUCAUUCAUGUCUAUCGCUUCAUGUUGAUUAGGGUUAGUCAUGUAGCCCUCAGUCAUAUCGUCCGAUGUUGUUUCUAUAGAGAUGUACCGUGGUUCUUCCGUAGUAGGCCACGAGGAUGAUAUCACAUCAUCACGCACACUGCACGUAGAUUGAGAAAAAUCUUUUGGCAAAUAACAGUUGUCGAAGUAGCUGUAUAAGCACGAAUUAUUUAACUGAUUUUCAUAUUGAAAACAUCUUGAAUUUUCAUUGUUAUCAAACACAGUCUCAGACAAGACUGGAAUUUCCGUUUUUGAAAUAUUAUUAGAGUGAUAACACAUAUUAGGUACGAAACAAAACUGGUCUUGGUUUGCGAUAUCUUGGUAAAAGCAAUCAUCGCCGUUUUCCGUUUGAGGAAAGAUAUUUAAUCGGCAUUCAGAAAAUUGACUGGCAUUGCUGAAUGUUUGCGAUUCAUCGAUGCAGCCAUUUGUAUCAUGUGGUUCAUUUAUAAGGAAACGUGAAUCGAGAAAAUAUGAAAAUUCAUAAGUGGCAUUUCGAUCUAUCGAUGAUUCCGAAUUUCCAUAACCAGCAUUCAUACUUAAAAUUUGUCCUCUUUUAUCAAAGAAAUUGCUUUUGCUCGCAGCAGUCGGAAUUAAAUUGCUUUUAAGAAUGCCAUUAUGGGGGAGAUCUUGUUGCAAUUUUGGCGUCUGUAGUUCCAGUGUAGAACACUCGACAUUGUUGAAAUUAGGUGGAAAUGCGUUGUAAACGUGGUUACCAGUGGAUUGGUAACUAGCUGUUUCGGAAACCAUUGACUGAAAACGUCUGUUCGUCCGCCGCAUGGCAUUUGAAUACGUCACUUUCGAAGGAUCUUCAGUUCCCCUUGCUUGGUGUGGGUGUAAAAGACAAGAGGAUACAUUGAAUGUCGUAAACAUACUAUUGUCAGUGAAUGCACAUGGAUUUAAACUAUUCUGAUGAAUAGUAUUUGAUGUAGACGAUGGCUCUUUCUUGCAGAAACCAACGUUAUUUUUUGCUGUAUUAAAAUCAAUAUUGCAUUUUCGAGUCUCUUCCGCACUGCAAGAAUAAAUUGUAUGUUCAUUAUAAUAAACCGAACUGUUUGUUGAAUUGGGCAAUUGAUAAGAUGAAUGCAAACUUGAAUGAUGCACAUUGCUGUCUUUUUCCAAACAUGAUGUUCUUUGGUUUUUCAAAUAACCUGCAAAGUUGAUUGGUUCCAAGAUAAAACUAGACAAUUAAUUAUAUUCACUUCACUUUGUUAAAAUAAGUUAUGUUGGUGGCGAUUUUCUGGGUAAUUAGAACAGGGAAAUGAAACGAUUAUAUCGAUGUAAGGAUUUUUACCUUUGA
This is a long non-coding RNA of Xenia sp. Carnegie-2017, 2740 nucleotides long. RefSeq lists it as uncharacterized. The transcript has 2 exons. NCBI's taxonomy places the organism in Eukaryota, Metazoa, Cnidaria, Anthozoa, Malacalcyonacea, Xeniidae. The record is from RefSeq and is a predicted model, not a curated record.